AAAUUAACAUACAAUUUCUUUGCUAACCUUCCCUGGCUCACUUCCAACUUCUUAACAUGCCCUCUCACAUACCAGAGACACCAAUUUACUUCAUUUUUAGAGAUCAUCACUAUUUUUGAGGCCGACACUCGGACAUUCGGGGAUUGCUUUGAAGGACAUCGGGAAACUACUCUUUUUCUUUUCGGAGCUGUAUGCUCACACACUUCAACUUUCAUAUUGAAGUCCCGAUAUCUAAACCCCUGCAGGAUAUUUGUCAGCAGUUGGAAACAACACAUGCUAUGAUGCCAGACAUCGCUGCAUUCCCCUUGGUAAUUCCCUAUUGUCAUCUGUGAAUGUGUCAAUCAAGGUUGCAGGGUACCAUACUUCUGAGAAGCCAAGAGGGACAGGUGUGGGAGAUCCCUUCGGAUCUGGUUUAUCUCCUGUUUUGUGGCAUAUGAUGUGACACAUUCUUCAAAACAUUUUAAAAUAGAGUUUCAUUUAACUAGCGGAGACUUUCAUUUGAGGGAUAUGGUUCUGAUGUGUGUUUUAGGUAUACUCAUGUGUAAUAUAUAAGAUGUAUUCUUGAGGAAGUUAUUUAACACAAUUUUCCUUGUGUGCAGGAAGUCAAAUGAAGAAUUUGGGGAUGCAGCAGAGCCUGACAUAAAACUUGGUAAAAAGAAAUAUAGUCAUGUGCAAAUAUCUAAAUACAUUUGCUAAUGACAAUUUUUUCUUCUCA
Long non-coding RNA from Pipistrellus kuhlii (Kuhl's pipistrelle), 715 nucleotides. RefSeq lists it as uncharacterized. The transcript is spliced from 2 exons. The record is from RefSeq and is a predicted model, not a curated record. Lineage: Eukaryota; Metazoa; Chordata; Mammalia; Chiroptera; Vespertilionidae.